RNAcentral lists this ribosomal RNA (440 nucleotides) under uncultured Arcobacter sp. RNAcentral describes it as "bacterial SSU rRNA". It matches the Rfam family "Bacterial small subunit ribosomal RNA", at positions 338 to 795 of the family's 1533-position model. Lineage: Bacteria; Pseudomonadati; Campylobacterota; Epsilonproteobacteria; Campylobacterales; Arcobacteraceae. The record is from RNAcentral.
CCUACGGGGGGCUGCAGUGGGGAAUAUUGCACAAUGGACGAAAGUCUGAUGCAGCAACGCCGCGUGGAGGAUGACACAUUUCGGUGCGUAAACUCCUUUUAUAUAAGAAGAUAAUGACGGUAUUAUAUGAAUAAGCACCGGCUAACUCCGUGCCAGCAGCCGCGGUAAUACGGGGGGUGCAAGCGUUACUCGGAAUCACUGGGCGUAAAGAGCAUGUAGGCGGAUUAAUAAGUUUGAAGUGAAAUCCUAUAGCUUAACUAUAGAACUGCUUUGAAAACUGUUAGUCUAGAAUGUGGGAGAGGUAGAUGGAAUUUCUGGUGUAGGGGUAAAAUCCGUAGAGAUCAGAAGGAAUACCGAUUGCGAAGGCGAUCUACUGGAACAUUAUUGACGCUGAGAUGCGAAAGCGUGGGGAGCAAACAGGAUUAGAUACCCGAGUAGUC